AGUGAACGCUGGCGGUAGGCCUAACACAUGCAAGUCGAACGGCAGCACAGUAAGAGCUUGCUCUUACGGGUGGCGAGUGGCGGACGGGUGAGGAAUACAUCGGAAUCUACUUUUUCGUGGGGGAUAACGUAGGGAAACUUACGCUAAUACCGCAUACGACCUACGGGUGAAAGCAGGGGAUCUUCGGACCUUGCGCGAUUGAAUGAGCCGAUGUCGGAUUAGCUAGUUGGCGGGGUAAAGGCCCACCAAGGCGACGAUCCGUAGCUGGUCUGAGAGGAUGAUCCGCCACACUGGAACUUAGACACGGUCCCGGCUCCUACGGGAGGCAGCAGUGGGGAAUAUUGGACAAUGGGCGCAAGCCUGAUCCAGCCAUACCGCGUGGGUGAAGAAGGCCUUCGGGUUGUAAAGCCCUUUUGUUGGGAAAGAAAAGCAGCAGGUUAAUACCCCGCUGUUCUGACGGUACCCAAAGAAUAAGCACCGGCUAACUUCGUG
This 492-nucleotide ribosomal RNA is filed under the name uncultured bacterium. RNAcentral's name for it is "partial 16S ribosomal RNA". It matches the Rfam family "Bacterial small subunit ribosomal RNA", at positions 29 to 507 of the family's 1533-position model. The record is from RNAcentral.